This 549-nucleotide ribosomal RNA is filed under the name uncultured eukaryote. RNAcentral's name for it is "SSU rRNA". It matches the Rfam family "Eukaryotic small subunit ribosomal RNA", at positions 770 to 1319 of the family's 1831-position model. The record is from RNAcentral.
AGUGUUCACGGCAGGUCAAAGCCUCGAAUAUAUUAGCAUGGAAUAAUAUUAUAGGACUCAUGUUCUUAUUUUGUUGGUUUCAGGAGCUAGAGUAAUGGUCGAUAGGGAUUGCUGGGGGCAUUUGUAUUAACGCGUCAGAGGUGGAAUUCUUGGAUUGCGUUACGACAAACUACUGCGAAAGCAUUUGUCAAGAAUGUUUUCUUUGAUCAAGAACGAAAGUAUGGGGAUCGAAGAUGAUUAGAUACCGUCGUAUUCUAUACCAUAAACUAUGCCGACUAGGGAUUGGAGGUCGUUCUAUCUGUGACCCCUUCAGCACCUUACGAGAAAUCAGAGUCUUUGGGUUCCGGGGGGAGUAUGGUCGCAAGGCUGAAACUUAAAGGAAUUGACGGAAGGGCACCACCAGGAGUGGAGCCUGCGGCUUAAUUUGACUCAACACGGGGAAACUCACCAGGUCCAGACAUAGUAAGGAUUGACAGAUUGAUAGAUCUUUCUUGAUUCUAUGGGUGGUGGUGCAUGGCCGUUCUUAGUUGGUGGAGUGAUUUGUCCGGU